GUUUACAGGGCCCUGUCCAGGUGACGAUAGCAUCCUGCAGCUCCUCGCUCAGUUCCCAAGUCGGUCCUCGGGGAGAGGCUCCCUGCCUGUGAGUAUCUCCCCUUGCCUUCCCCAGGCAGCGUGAUCCUGGAGAAACCAUUUCCAUUUUACUUUGGAACUCCUCUGGGCACUGCCAGGCCCAUUAGAGCGCUUCUCCGACAUCACCCAAGACACUGUGGGCAUUUCAGGCUUCAGGAUCAUUGUGUGUCCUUCGGUCAUCGGGGUAGCUUCCAUUAACGUCCAACAGCAAGUACAAAGUUGUAUAUUCUAGCUGGGAGUGCUCCUGGUCAUCCUACAUGGGACGCCGCCUCAGCCUGGCCUGAUGAGCGGUGCCAUGUCCGUGCCCAGGGGCUGAACCAGUGAAACCCUGGGCUGCCGGAGCAGAGCGCGCGAAUUUAACCACUCGUCCACUCGGCCGGCCCCAGCAGGGGAUCUUAUAGAGCUAAGGGGCUUGGCAGGAGGAGUUUCAAGAAACAAAGAGGUAAUCCAUGCUUCUUUCACUCCAGAGAUGCAAUCACCAACCACCCUGAACCAGCCCAAACCCUACCACAAGAGUGAUGACUGCGCAGACGGGCUGAAAAGUGCCCAAGAUUGACCUUCGCCUCAUUUUUAAUGCUAAGAUCUCCGCUCUAGGAGGAGUUUAGGCUUUAUUACCAUAACAUGUGAUGUAUGUGGAAGCAUGUUUUCCAGCUGAGCCUGUGCAAGCAAAUACCCACCUCUCCCUUUUGAAUAUUCAUUCCCCAUCCCAGAU
Molecule: long non-coding RNA, 790 nt
Filed under: Equus caballus (horse)
Lineage: Eukaryota; Metazoa; Chordata; Mammalia; Perissodactyla; Equidae
Description: lncRNA (ENSECAG00000049934.1)
Source: RNAcentral